RNAcentral lists this ribosomal RNA (435 nucleotides) under uncultured bacterium. RNAcentral's name for it is "bacterial SSU rRNA". It matches the Rfam family "Bacterial small subunit ribosomal RNA", at positions 958 to 1392 of the family's 1533-position model. The record is from RNAcentral.
AACGCGAAGAACCUUACCAAGGCUUGACAUCCCUCUGACCGAUUUAGAGAUAGAUCUUUCCCUUCGGGGACAGAGGUGACAGGUGGUGCAUGGUUGUCGUCAGCUCGUGUCGUGAGAUGUUGGGUUAAGUCCCGCAACGAGCGCAACCCUUAUCUUUAGUUGCCAGCAUUUAGUUGGGCACUCUAGAGAGACUGCCGGUGACAAACCGGAGGAAGGUGGGGAUGACGUCAAAUCAUCAUGCCCCUUAUGUCUUGGGCUACACACGUGCUACAAUGGUUGGUACAAAGGGCUGCAAGCCAGCGAUGGUUAGCCAAUCCCAUAAAGCCAAUCUCAGUUCGGAUUGUAGGCUGCAACUCGCCUACAUGAAGUCGGAAUCGCUAGUAAUCGCAGAUCAGCAUGCUGCGGUGAAUACGUUCCCGGGUCUUGUACACACCG